This 383-nucleotide ribosomal RNA is filed under the name uncultured eukaryote. RNAcentral describes it as "partial 18S ribosomal RNA". It matches the Rfam family "Eukaryotic small subunit ribosomal RNA", at positions 592 to 976 of the family's 1831-position model. The record is from RNAcentral.
CAAUAGCGUAUAUUAAAGUUGUUGCAGUUAAAAAGCUCGUAGUUGGAUUUCUGGUGGGAGCGAUCGGUCUGGCGCUUAGCGCGAGUACUUGCAUCGUCUCCGGCCAUCCUUGGGGAGAGUCUGUCUGGCAUUAAGUUGUCGGGCAGAGGAUCCUCAUCGUUUACUGUGAAAAAAUUAGAGUGUUCAAAGCAGGCUUAUGCCGUUGAAUAUAUUAGCAUGGAAUAAUAAGAUGGGACUUUGGUACUAUUUUGUUGGUUUGCGCACCAAAGUAAUGAUUAAUAGGGACAGUUGGGGGUAUUCGUAUUCCGUUGUCAGAGGUGAAAUUCUUGGAUUUACGGAAGACGAACUACUGCGAAAGCAUUUACCAAGGAUGUUUUCAUUAA